AAGAAAAGAAAAAAGGGCACUCCGAUAGGACAGAAACAGAACAUGGGAGGGGACAAUCUGGGAAUAAAAGCUAGCCGCUCCCCCUCAACCCCAGCGCGCAGGCAACCUGCUCUGGUCCUCGGUCCACGCUGUGGAAGCUUUGUUGAAGGUUUGUUCUUUCGCUUUUCACAAUAAAUGUUGCUGCUGCUCGCUCUUUGGUCCCGUGCCAUCUUUAAGAGCUGCAACACUCACAUGAAGGUCCACGGCUCCAUUCUUGAAGUUAGCCAGACCAUGAACCCACCGGAAGGAACCAACUCCGGACACAUUAGGGCUGCCUUCAGCCUGGUCCAAAAAGCCAAGGUGGGCUGUGUCUGUGGUGACUUGUACCCAACCUGGCAGGGAUGGACCGUAAAAGGACAGGAUCCAGGAAGGAAGGAACGCUGCUUACCGGGUUCUACCCUCCUGGGCCUCAGAAUCUUGGCUCUCGAAGUCGGUUCGUCCCCGUGACUGAGGUUUAGCCUUAAUACCUACACAUGUUCUUGAACUUGGACUUUAUGAAAAGUACAAAUGAUUGAUAUUUUAAAUGGCUUAACCCUCCCAGACUCAAAAUGAGAGCUCAAUGUAAUUAAACUAUAUGGAAAAUAUUUUGAUUGUGCUUAUCAGGCAAUACUUAAUAGUAUCCACGAUGUGUCAGACUUUCUAAGGACUUACUGAAUCAUCAGACGUUUUGAGGGGAGAUAGAAUUAUCUCCAUUUUACAGAUGGAGAAACUAAAGUCCAGCAAGGCUAGAUAACUUGCCUGAGGGCACAGAGCUAGUAAAUGGCAGAGCUCAUUACCAAUGCCUUAAACUUCCUCGCAACUCAGGCGUAAUUAAUAAGCACACAGCUAGUAAGAAAUGGCUAAGUGGAUGUCCAGCUCUUUCCCUGAUUGAAUUAGAGUUUGUUCCUUAUUUGGGGGAGCUUGGACCUUCUCUGGGGCCCCAAGGUCUUUAUACUGCACAGGAGGUUUGGGGUUUGGCACUGUCUCUAAGCCCUUUGUCGCUCAUUGUGUGUCUGCAGUUGCUUCGAGUUCACCUGAGCACUGGUUCUGUAGCAACAGCAUUCCCAAGGAGGUUUGUGCCCUCUGAGAUGUAGUAUGCAGGAUGCCAGGUUCUGAUGGAUGCCAGGGCAUGGCUGCCUUCUUGAUGUAAAGGCUCAGUGCCCUGACCUGGGUACUCUGUAAUUACGCUACCCAUGUGAUGCCCUCUGCCUCUUCUCCCUGUUCUCGUGAGGUGAGCAUGGGAGGGGACUGAUCCACUUUUCUGGACAGCAAGAAUAGCUUCUUGAUUGAAACGGAUGCUCUACUGGACAAAAGAUGUGACUGUCUUGACCCCUCCUAGGGAACAUCAUUGAUCAUCCUCAGCGUUUCUGCAGCCCAGGAGUGGUCAUGUUUAACGUUUUUUUAGCCAAGACCCCAUGGGUUUCAUACCUGAUGAGGAGUGCCAUCCGGAGGAUGAGGGGUGUGGGCAAAUCAGAAGACCUCUGGAGCCUUCCAGAUUGCAUGAGCAGCAGCCGGCUGGCAGCCAUCCAAAGUGGGGAAUCAGGAACUCGAGCUGAGCAAAUGCGUUGUACCUGUGGAGGGGCAGUUUGGAGCUACCACCUCCAGGAGCCUUCUCUGAGCCUAGCCCCAUGAAGAAGAGGGAAGGAAGGCGGAGGGAGGGAAGCCCAAACUUGCAGCAGCAGCAGCAGCGGCGACUGGUAUUUCCCACCCAAGGGCCCGGGAUACGUUUGAUGAUGCCCAGAUGUUACAGGGCACCUGCUGCAUCUAUGUCCUUUUCCAGACAGAAGAACACCACCCACCUGGGAAAUAGGACAUGUACACGACGUAAGAGCUGAGGACCCAGGGCAGCAUUGCCUGGAGGGGCUGCAGGGAAGAGGGGUUCUCGUCUCAGUUUUACAGAAGACGAAAAAGGCUCGGGGAGAUGACAGAGACUCAGUAGGUCCCUGGCAAGGCCUGGUCAUCUGGCAAGGUGAAGAGGACCUCAGAAACCACUGCAGGGCCAGAGUAACAGGAAAGAGACCCAUUAUUCAAGACAGAUGAUGUAAUGUGAAUAAAAGAGUGAACAUUU
Macaca mulatta (Rhesus monkey) is the source of this 2086-nucleotide non-coding RNA. Lineage: Eukaryota; Metazoa; Chordata; Mammalia; Primates; Cercopithecidae. The record is from RefSeq and is a predicted model, not a curated record.